GGCCACGUGGCGGAGUGGUGACGCAGCGGAUUGCAAAUCCGUGUACGGGGGUUCGAUUCCCUCCGUGGCCU
This 71-nucleotide transfer RNA is filed under the name Pleomorphomonas diazotrophica. It matches the Rfam family "tRNA". Rfam says of the family: Transfer RNA (tRNA) molecules are approximately 80 nucleotides in length. Their secondary structure includes four short double-helical elements and three loops (D, anti-codon, and T loops). The record is from Rfam by way of RNAcentral. Lineage: Bacteria; Pseudomonadati; Pseudomonadota; Alphaproteobacteria; Hyphomicrobiales; Pleomorphomonadaceae.